Molecule: transfer RNA, 68 nt
Filed under: Marmota monax (woodchuck)
Lineage: Eukaryota; Metazoa; Chordata; Mammalia; Rodentia; Sciuridae
Description: tRNA.Ala
Rfam family: tRNA (bases 6-63)
About the family: Transfer RNA (tRNA) molecules are approximately 80 nucleotides in length. Their secondary structure includes four short double-helical elements and three loops (D, anti-codon, and T loops). Further hydrogen bonds mediate the characteristic L-shaped molecular structure. tRNAs have two regions of fundamental functional importance: the anti-codon, which is responsible for specific mRNA codon recognition, and the 3' end, to which the tRNAs corresponding amino acid is attached (by aminoacyl-tRNA synthetases). tRNAs cope with the degeneracy of the genetic code in two manners: having more than one tRNA (with a specific anti-codon) for a particular amino acid; and 'wobble' base-pairing, i.e. permitting non-standard base-pairing at the 3rd anti-codon position.
Source: RNAcentral
GGAUAUAGCUCAGUUGGUAGAGUGCUUGCCUUGCAUGCACAAGGCCCUGGGUUCAAUACCCAGCACCA